CAAAGCAAAACUCCAUCACGAGCCAAACAGUAAGGUCGACAAGUCUGAGCUCGCCGGAGCCGCCGCUGACCUCCUUAACGCCGCCUCACAGUACGGCAAACUAGAAGAGAAAGGGAUCGGAAAGUUCGUCGGAAAAGCAGAGACUUAUCUCCACAAAUAUGAAACUUCUCAUUCCACCACCACCUCCACGACUGAACACACGCAGUCCUCGGCGCAUACAGGGGGAAAACAUGAACAAUC
This 240-nucleotide long non-coding RNA is filed under the name Nicotiana tabacum (common tobacco). RNAcentral's name for it is "long non-coding RNA (NTAB_LNC015751)". The record is from RNAcentral. Lineage: Eukaryota; Viridiplantae; Streptophyta; Magnoliopsida; Solanales; Solanaceae.